RNAcentral lists this unclassified non-coding RNA (391 nucleotides) under soil metagenome. Its description in RNAcentral is "partial contains 5.8S ribosomal RNA, internal transcribed spacer 2, and large subunit ribosomal RNA". The stretch from base 1 to 122 matches the Rfam family "5.8S ribosomal RNA", at positions 35 to 154 of the family's 154-position model. The record is from RNAcentral.
GAUGAAGAACGUAGCGAAAUGCGAUACUUGGUGUGAAUUGCAGAAUCCCGUGAACCAUCGAGUCUUUGAACGCAAGUUGCGCCCGAAGCCACUAGGCCGAGGGCACGCCUGCCUGGGCGUCACACGCCGUUGCCCCCCCAUCUACUCCUUCGGGAUUGCGGGGGGGCGGAUGAUGGCCUCCCGUGCGCCUAGCCGCGCGGUUGGCAUAAAUACCAAGUCCUCGGCGACGCACGCCACGACAAUCGGUGGUUGCGAAACCUCGGUUGCCCGUCGUGUGCGUUCGUCGCGCAGCGAGGGCUCGAAAAAAUGCUCGGCUCCGGCUGGGCUUUCAACGCGACCCCAGGUCAGGCGGGGUUACCCGCUGAAUUUAAGCAUAUCAAUAAGCGGAGGA